RNAcentral lists this ribosomal RNA (254 nucleotides) under uncultured bacterium. Its description in RNAcentral is "partial 16S ribosomal RNA". It matches the Rfam family "Bacterial small subunit ribosomal RNA", at positions 524 to 776 of the family's 1533-position model. The record is from RNAcentral.
CACGUAGGGCGCGAGCGUUGUCCGGAAUUAUUGGGCGUAAAGAGCUCGUAGGCGGCCUGUUGCGUCCGCUGUGAAAGCCCGGGGCUUGACCCCGGGUCGGCAGUGGAUACGGGCAGGCUAGAGGUAGGUAGGGGGAGAAUGGAAUUCCCGGUGUAGCGGUGAAAUGCGCAGAUAUCGGGAGGAACACCUAUGGCGAAGGCAGCUUACUAGGCAGGUACUGACACUGAGGCGCGAAAGCGUGGGUAGCGAACAGG